GACUGUGCCUCCUUCGGUUGUGCUUUAUCCUGUAUCUUGUAUCUCUACUCCGGUUGUCCAAGGUCGGGGUAGCAAUCAACAAGAGCUUCCUCCCGUGGCUCUCCGUCGAUCAACACGUUUUCGAGAGCCUCCAAGGAUAUCCCUUUGGAAGGUGAUUUCAUUGGACCUCGUCAGAGCUUGAACCAAGUGGUGGGUGAUUCCACAUCACCUAUGCCCGCUAGAGGUGAAACUAAGAAAAAGCUUCGAGAGAAAAUAAAGAUGUUGAAGGCUUUAAGGAGUUAGGCUUGCAUGUCAUCUGUGUUGCUUUAUUGAAGUGUGCUUUGAGCUUUAUUGAACAUCUGCUAUGUUUUAUUUAGGUUUUAGAUUUUCUCCUUUUCUUUCUUUUCUUUUCCUCCUGGGGCAUACCCCUUGUAGGCUGCAUAUUCGGUUAGCCUUUUUUUUAUUUCAAGCUAUGUUACCCCAAAAAAAAAGAAAAGAAGAAGAUUAUUGUUGAGGUUUGAGAAUCCAAAUCUCAAGUAGAAAAGGCAUAGCUUGGUCCUAGCCUAGUACAACAAAAUUAUAUUACUAUCUCCAUCUUCCGUAAUUUAGGACAAGGAGAUGAGAUAAAUUGGUGAUGAGAUUUGUGGAGCCUUUGAGGCAGUUUCAUGCUCAAUCACACCCACAAUAAGUCGUGUGUAAGGCGUAUGAGUUAUGCAAAAGGUGGCCAAUAGGUUGAUGAUUUAGAAGGAUAGAGCAUGUAAUUCAAAAUCAAGGGGGAAAUUAGAAAAUGAAACUAAACCGAAGACAAAAGAUAGAGCAUGUCAUUCUGAACUAAAUUAAGGCAUAUAUCUCACUCCGUUCUGCUUGCAGUAGUCAACGUCAGUCCAGCAAUCCUCGUUCUUCACCCUAUCGACUGGCCAGUAAGGGCUGGGCGUGAUGGCAGAUAUGGACGACGUCACCACCACGCGCCGAACCCCUAACUCCUUAGCCGCCGUGAGCACGUUGUUUGUCCCCUUAAUUGCGGGCGCCAAUAGCUCAUUCUGCAAAAUAUGUAGCACAUCAACCCGAUUACCAUAAAAGAACGAAUAAAUUCCCACGUGUAAGUGCGUUUCGGGACCUCGGGGUCUAUGACUUCGUCUACGAUGCAGGGGGAAGCGAGGUGGAAGACGCCGGCGGCGCCGUUGACGCCGGCGACUAUGGAAUCGUAGUCGAGGAGAUCGAUCUGGAAGAGACGGAGACGCGAUUCUGCUCCUUCUAGGGAUUCUAGAUGCUUCGUUUCUUUUUCGUCAUCUGCGAAAAAAGACAACCGCAAUUAGACGCCGGGGUUGACACACACAGGGAGAGAGAGAGAGAGACAGAGAGAGAGAGAGAGAGAGAGUAACUGAUAUUUUUUACGGUGGCGUGAACGGUGUAGCCGCGGUCGAGGAGGAGACGGACGAUCCAUGAACCGAUGUAGCCGCUGCCUCCAGUUACGCAAACUACCUCUCCUCCUUUGCUUGACUCUGACAUUUUCCCUGCUGCCUUGCUAGUUGCUUCCCCCUCCUCAAGCUCUCUCUCACUCUCAGUCACUCUGAUAUUUUUAUUUUUUUUGCUACACUGUCAUACGCGG
This is a long non-coding RNA of Rhododendron vialii, 1588 nucleotides long. RefSeq lists it as uncharacterized. NCBI's taxonomy places the organism in Eukaryota, Viridiplantae, Streptophyta, Magnoliopsida, Ericales, Ericaceae. The transcript is spliced from 3 exons. The record is from RefSeq and is a predicted model, not a curated record.